UACGAAGGGGGCUAGCGUUGCUCGGAAUCACUGGGCGUAAAGGGUGCGUAGGCGGGUUUUAAGUCAGAGGUGAAAUCCUGGAGCUCAACUCCAGAACUGCCUUUGAUACUGAGAAUCUUGAGUAUGGGAGAGGUGAGUGGAACUGCGAGUGUAGAGGUGAAAUUCGUAGAUAUUCGCAAGAACACCAGUGGCGAAGGCGGCUCACUGGCCCAUAACUGACGCUGAGGCACGAAAGCGUGGGGAGCAAACAGG
RNAcentral lists this ribosomal RNA (252 nucleotides) under uncultured bacterium. RNAcentral describes it as "partial 16S ribosomal RNA". It matches the Rfam family "Bacterial small subunit ribosomal RNA", at positions 524 to 776 of the family's 1533-position model. The record is from RNAcentral.